GACUCUAUAGUUCAACUGGAUAGAAUAUCAGAUUUCGGCUCUGAGGGUUGGGGGUUCGAAUCCUCCUAGGGUCA
This 74-nucleotide transfer RNA is filed under the name Tenacibaculum holothuriorum. It matches the Rfam family "tRNA". Rfam says of the family: Transfer RNA (tRNA) molecules are approximately 80 nucleotides in length. Their secondary structure includes four short double-helical elements and three loops (D, anti-codon, and T loops). Further hydrogen bonds mediate the characteristic L-shaped molecular structure. tRNAs have two regions of fundamental functional importance: the anti-codon, which is responsible for specific mRNA codon recognition, and the 3' end, to which the tRNAs corresponding amino acid is attached (by aminoacyl-tRNA synthetases). tRNAs cope with the degeneracy of the genetic code in two manners: having more than one tRNA (with a specific anti-codon) for a particular amino acid; and 'wobble' base-pairing, i.e. permitting non-standard base-pairing at the 3rd anti-codon position. The record is from Rfam by way of RNAcentral. Lineage: Bacteria; Pseudomonadati; Bacteroidota; Flavobacteriia; Flavobacteriales; Flavobacteriaceae.